GAAUAAAAUCGUUAAAGAAAGAUCCAUAGAACCAUGUUUAAUGGAAAGUAAUCUGUAUUUUUUAAACACAGGACAAUUAUCUAGCAAAUUAUAUAAGGACAAAAAAAAAAACAACCAAACCCAAAACUUUAUUUGCAUUGACUGAUGUUUAGAAGCCAAUAACAUUAUAAAUAGCACAUUACUUGCAAUUCAUACCUUAAAUGGACACGAUAGUCACCAGAAUCACUUCAGCUUAAUGUAUGGCUUCUGGUAUCUAUAGCCUGUCUCUGUAGGCAUUUCAAUGUAAACACUGUCUUUUCAGUUAAAAGACAGUGUUUACAUUGGUGCCUAAUAACACCUCUAGUGGCAGUCACUCAGCUGGCAACUAGACGUGCUUCCUAGUACAGGAAAUACUGAUUGGUGCUGCAUUGUGUUUUGCUGUGCAUGCGCAAUAGCCUCCCAAUGCUUUCCUCUGGGAAAGCAUUGUAUUGGCUGAGAUUAUCAGGAUUAAUGAUCUCAGCUAUGGAGGCAUAGUCAAAUGGAACCAGCUGAGGCAUGGGAGAAAAGGUAAGUCAAAUCAGCUUUUCAAAAGGAGGCACCUAAACAGCCAUACCAGGACUAUACUGUGAGGAAAACAUGUUUGUAUUCCUGACACUAUCGUGUUCCUUUAAUGGAAUAAUGAGAGCCAUAUAUUCUUUUGUGAUUAUAGUGUAUCACCCAUCUUGCAUCAUUCUGUCAGUUAUAGAUAUACAGAAUUUAUUUUGAUGAGCUUUGCCUGACGGAAAAAAUACAUAUCUGCAUAACUAACGCUACUGCGAUGACUCCCCUAAUCAAUAUCUUCC
This is a non-coding RNA of Pelobates cultripes (western spadefoot toad), 821 nucleotides long. The record is from the annotation of a GenBank genome assembly. NCBI's taxonomy places the organism in Eukaryota, Metazoa, Chordata, Amphibia, Anura, Pelobatidae.